Molecule: long non-coding RNA, 1020 nt
Organism: Bos taurus (domestic cattle)
Lineage: Eukaryota; Metazoa; Chordata; Mammalia; Artiodactyla; Bovidae
Source: Ensembl
GGCUCCCAGCACCAUCUGUGCAGUGAGCAGUGCCUGGAGGAAAGAGUGGGACAGAGAUCUGGUGACUCACUGGACCCGGAGGAAUAAAGAGAAAGGAAGGCUGGCUCACGCUGCAGCCUAGGCUGGAAGAUGCCAGAAAGACUGCUGUGCUGCUGGACCCAGAGCUCUCCUCCUCCUUCCUCAGCGGUCUCAGAAACACGCAGGCUGCAGGGUCCCGCUGUGCGCAGUCUCCUCCUCCAGAUCUAGGGAGCCCUGGAUGCCAGCAGCACAACCUCGUCGAGGGACUAUGAGGAUAAAACUGGGUACCACAUGUUUAAAGAGCUCAGCACGGAGCCUGUCAUGGCGAGCACCUGUUCACGCUCCCAGCCAGGACUUCUGCCUCUGCCUUGCCAUUCACUCCUUAGCUCUGUCCACUCCACAUCCUGUUCUCUGGACCCUUGUCCUCCCUGGGUUCCUGGGAGGACUCGUGCAAGGCGAUGGGUGUGGAGUGCAAGGGCAGCGGCAAUCAGAGGGGCAGAUGGGAUGACUUGGGUCAGGAAGUCCCUGCAGUGGCCUCCAAAGGCCUCUCUGCUGAUCCCGGCCUGACUCACCCACAAAGUCCUCUCUCUUGAGGGCUCUCUCACCUUCCCAGGCCUCUACCUUCUCUUCUGUCCUGAGGAAGAAUUCUAAGACUCUCAAGAAGACAAGAGAUUUCAGAGGUCAUCUUAUCCAACAUCCUCCAGGGCGGGCUUGGAUUUCCUGGCGGCUCCUUGUACACACAGGAUGGAGCGCUUGCUACCUCUGGAGGCCCCUGUUUUGUUUGGGAGACAGUGCUGGGAAUGUGAGGGUGUUGAAUUGUAACUUCUGCCUCUGGUUCUACCUGUGGGCUCUCCCGGGAGCCUCUUCGGGUCCCUGCAGAGAGAUACACUGGCCCCUGUUACCACCCUCUCCCCUUCGUGGGCCCUACAGCCUCCCUCCCUCUGGCCUUCGGUCCUCAUCUUGUAGUUCCCAGUCCGGGUUCCUGGGGGAACCACAGUGGAG